Molecule: ribosomal RNA, 253 nt
Filed under: uncultured bacterium
Lineage: Bacteria
Description: partial 16S ribosomal RNA
Rfam family: Bacterial small subunit ribosomal RNA
Source: RNAcentral
UACGGAGGGUGCAAGCGUUAAUCGGAUUCAUUGGGCGUAAAGAGCACGUAGGCGGAGUGGAAAGUUAGAUGUGAAAUCCCGGGGCUCAACUCCGGACCCGCAUCUAAAACUCCCAUUCUAGAGGAUGGACGGAGAAAAGGGAAUUCCACGUGUAGCGGUGAAAUGCGUAGAUAUGUGGAAGAACACCGGUGGCGAAGGCGCUUUUCUAGUUUAUUCCUGACGCUGAGGUGCGAAAGCAAGGGGAGCAAACAGG